Molecule: long non-coding RNA, 1016 nt
Organism: Brassica oleracea var. oleracea
Lineage: Eukaryota; Viridiplantae; Streptophyta; Magnoliopsida; Brassicales; Brassicaceae
Exons: 4
Source: RefSeq, a predicted model, not a curated record
CGUAAAUUGUGUACAGGGCUGCACAACCAUAACAUAGUAGACAUAUAAAUAUCAACUUUGUCUUGGCGUUUGAACUUUUAUCUUUCUCAAUGUUUUCAAGCUUUAUAACUCAUUUCUUUCAUGUAGCCAACCUGAAAAGUCAAUGAAAUUGAUUUUAGGAGAAGAAUUGAAGUCAAUUUGAAGAGAGGAGAGGAGAAGAAGCUGAUUUCAGGUCCCACUGUAAAUAAAGAGAGUAGAGAGGUUAAUGAAGAAUUGGUGUAAUUUUUUUUGGCAAAUUUGAUUCAGAGGUAAGGAAGAACAAUUUGGAUGCGUCAGGACAAUCUCGGAACUAUCUUGUUGGAAGGAAAACAUGUCGCCCGAACUGCAUUGGUGUGGUUUUUAUGUUGGCUCGUCCCAUGAACCAGAGGUCACAUACGAGGAUGGUGUUGAAGUAAACAAACCAUUAUAUAAUUCAUGUUCAAGGAAACACAUAGUUUUUUAAAGAAACAAGCAGUGUGCAAUCUCAAGAACAGAGUAUAUGAGAUAAAACGAACAGAGCAAAAACAGAGGAUCUGAUGAAUCAGUAAUCAUCUCCCUAGGAAACAACUUCUUUGCAAGUAGGUUCGAAUAAAACGGUGCGUUCAAACUGUGAUACGUAGCUUCAAAUCACGUUUAAAAAAUAAUUAUUAUUUUGGAAACACACAAAAAUCAUGCAUCAUCAAACACAACCAAUAUAAACUUCGGUCUUGCACCAUAAAGACUUAACUAAAAGAUUAACAAGAGGACUUGGAUAGAAGUAAGAAAUGACUCGGUCUUGCACUUGGAUGAUGCAGCUGCAACGAGUGUCAUGAGUUUGCAAUAUUUUACCAUCAUCUAUUGACAUGAAGAAAUAAAAAGAAAGCUUUUAUCUAGCAAGGUGUUAAAGCUAACAAGACUUGCCAAAGGAAAUCAAGCAAGACCUGCCAGAAUGAACAAUACUCGCAGAGCUACAGUAAAAACAAACAGAUAUUUUAUUUUAGCUUUCUUAAUAAGCCAAG